Molecule: long non-coding RNA, 939 nt
Organism: Oncorhynchus gorbuscha (pink salmon)
Lineage: Eukaryota; Metazoa; Chordata; Actinopteri; Salmoniformes; Salmonidae
Exons: 5
Source: RefSeq, a predicted model, not a curated record
CGUGGUUCCAGCAAAGAGUGUCCAUGUAGAGUGAUACCAGAGGAGGGUGUUGGGAGGAGCUAUAGGAAGACUGUAAUACAUGGACAGAGUUUGAUGUGUUUGAUACCCUUUCAUUGAUACCAUUCCAGCCAUUACAAUGAGCCUGUCCUCCUAAAGCUCCUCCCGCAAGCUUCCUCAUCUAUAUACUGGUUGCGGUGAAGUUAAGGGGGUUAAUCUUGGGUCAUGUCCGUAUUCUGAAAACGCCGCUUUUCCUUUCUCAUUUCUGCCCACGAGAUGCAUAGAUCGGGAUGUCUUGCAUUCACCAGUUCAGCUUUUCCAAUGGGGAUGACUCAUGAAAGGACAGUUAUAGUGCAUCGUUAAUCUACUAGUUUGUUUAUUUACUAGUUUGUUUAACCCAGACCUUGGAUGUGGGGACUUUAUUUUGCACAUGGAUUGGGUAUAUAGCUACCAUGUGUUUUGUCCUCCUAUAGCCAGUAGUUCUUCAGACAGUGGAUCCAUGGCAGCUGUCGGGACAUGGGGAUUCUCUCAGCCUGAUUACCACUGGACGAGAUGCUACGGACAAUGUAGAGGAUGCCAUGGCAGAGGUUGAAGAUGACCCAGAGACAUUGGCAUCACAUUGUGGGGAGGGGAGGAUUCCCUAACAGUGGGGGAGUGUGAUGCUGCCAUCAUGGAGGGCAUCGCCGGCAGGUUUGGGGCAGUCACAGCGCUACGAUGCGGUGGGCCUCCGGUGUGGGUGGCUUGUAGGGUGAUGGACAGGAGCCCCCACAGUCUGCUGGUUGGGGACGGAGCAGCAGCUUUCACCAGGGGGCAAGGCUUUACUAUAGAGUCCAAUGACAACAUGCUGAGUGCAGUCAGCCAAGGAUUACUAGGACUUGCUGGAACAGAAGCAAAGUGUCAGUGGACAUGACACACUUGGACUUACAGUGGCAGUUAGACAAC